CCCCGCCCUGGUCAGAUUCUGAUCUGGAGCGCCGCAGACCUAUCCACCGCGCCAGGGGGAGCAGAUCAGCAGACUGGGUCCAUAAUUUGGGGGCCAGAAUGCAAAAAAGUAAAAUGAGAGGCCGGUUGUUCAAAAAUGAUGGAGGGACAGUGUAGAAAACAGGCCCCAGUCUUGCCCACUGAGGGUAAACUGCAAGAGAGCAAAAGUGACAAGUACAUGGGUAAACUGAGGCAAGUGGCACUAGUCCCAGAGGAGAGAGGAUAAGGUUGGAACCUGGAGUGGGAGAAGGUGAGGGGCAAGCAGAAAGACCAUCGAGUGUACAAAUGCAAAGCAGCGACCUGAAUUUGGGCCUGAGAGUUGGCCUGGGCCCGCCUCAGGGGCCCCUCAGGAUUCCGGGUGCUGUCAUUGGUCUCAGGACUUAGGCGAUGCAGUCUACCUGGGUCUCCCAGGCCCCUCCCUCCAAGCAUCUCAUAAUCUGUCUCCAGGGAGCCACCACCACCUCCCCCGGCCUGAUAGGCCAGGCCAGGCCACCCAGGGACAUGGAUAUCGAGGCCCAGGCCUCAGAGGACAGGCUGAGCAUGGACAUCCAGACCAGCUCUUUGCCCAGGAACCAGGGCACGCUCUGUCUGUCCACCCAAGAGAGACGACUUCCCCUUCCCUGUAAACCUUCACCUCUCCUGUCAAUAGUCUGACAGCUGACCGGAGGCUCUGAGGGUGGGAGCAUCUGGCGGCUCUGCAGGAGCAGCCUUGGGGCUGGUUUUCUUGGGCAGUGAAUCCUCAUAGCCCAAUUCUCAGUUGAGAAAAGCCUCUGGCCCUCGUCCUCUCCUCCCCUCCAGGUGAAGCAGGCUCCAUGAUCCCAGUUUCACACACAGGACCUGUUCAAGGAGGCACCUGGGCCCUCCUCCCACCCACGUUCCCCAGUCUCUCCUAGAUGAUCCCUCGGGAACCGCCCUGGGCCCAACAACCAGAGCUGCAGCCAGCAUUCGGUUUCCAGGUGUGGACACACACUGCUUGUCGACAGCCAUGUUGUGGUGGUGACCCACAUACAAAACAGAAGAAGAUUGGCACAGAUGUUAGCUCAGGGCGAAUCUUCCACACACACAAAAAACAAAUGAAGUGUAGCAGCUGGUUGAUGAGAAUUUGGCACUGAUCAACGCUAAAACAAUGUAUAAGAACAAAGUCAAGGACGUGUUUGCAGCCUCCUAAGAUCCUCACUGAAGGCCUACUAUGCACCGGAUACUAUUCUAGGUGCUGGGGGUAAAGCAGAAUAAGGUAGGCAGACACCUCAGGCCUCACAGAGCAGGCAUAAAGCAACCAAAAAUAUAAUGCCAUAACAUUGAACUUAGAAGUUCUAUUAAAAAGUCUUAAAAACAGAAUGAUAC
RNAcentral lists this long non-coding RNA (1382 nucleotides) under Equus caballus (horse). RNAcentral describes it as "lncRNA (ENSECAG00000057759.1)". The record is from RNAcentral. Lineage: Eukaryota; Metazoa; Chordata; Mammalia; Perissodactyla; Equidae.